This 3163-nucleotide long non-coding RNA is filed under the name Triticum aestivum (bread wheat). RNAcentral describes it as "long non-coding RNA (TAES_LNC009746)". The record is from RNAcentral. Lineage: Eukaryota; Viridiplantae; Streptophyta; Magnoliopsida; Poales; Poaceae.
UAAGCAGAAUGCAUACACACAUUGUAAUGCCAAUUUUGGCGAGACAGGCAUUUGAAAACUGUCUCACAUGCGCAUAUGAAUCAAAAUGCAGUUAUCCACAAGUAUCUAUAACAUAGCAGGUUACAAAAUCCUCCAUGAAAUGAUAGUUUACAACAUAGAUUGACAAAAUACAACACUUGGAAAAGUUAGAAAACAGUACAAUCCAGUUCACACAAACAGAACAUUUAAACUAUUGAAGUUGCUAUUCAAGUUCUUGCUGUCGCCCCUCUUGAUGGAAAUUAUCAUGUCAGUGCAAAUUGUGAUGGGGCAGCACCAAGUAGCCCGGUACGCAAUCAUACCUAGCAUAUUUACAACACCAUUAGAUAUUUGUAGAUAUGAAUAGAUUGUAAAAAUAAGAGAAUUGAAACAAAUAUAAAAAAUGAAUAACUCAUGCUGUCCAAAAUUCUUAAAUCUUGCACUGCUACAAGUGAGAAUAACAUAGUAUCUACUACAUACAUGUUUCAUGUAGAUCCGUAUUAAUUAAAACAACCAAGUUAUGGGUAAAAAAAUGAAAUGUCAAGUACUUGUGCAUAUCAUCCAAACAAGAAAAACAAAAACACUGGGGGACAAUAUAUACUGCAGUGCAAAAGAUUCAUUCAAUUAUCUUAUGUCCAGUCAUCCUUGAUGAUAAGUUAUUAAUAUAGAAGAAGGGAUAGUUAUGCGCUGAGAAAACAAACAACUACAUACUUCUACAGUUGUGUCCAGUAGUAUAUUAUUUUUCCAUCCUUGUAAGUAGGCAUGAAUCGACUUGUCAAUAUUUGGCAGAACAACACCUUUGGGUACCACCAAUUUGCAAAAAAUAGGUUACCCAACCCCAGAACCUACCCUAUUAUAUAUAGCAUUAAGAAAUUGGGCAUACCCUAAAGAACAAUAUCCACAUAUUGUUGACACUUGACAGUUGACCAAAAAAGAUAUAUAGUGAAAAUAAAACCAAAAGGCUAUGAAAGAGACAGUAAUAGACCUAUCUAAGAAUGUGGACAUUUUGCCCAAGGAUAAAUUUCUCUUGCAACCAUAAGAGAACAUCAACAUACAGCUGAAGAAUUACUAUUUGACAAGAAGCAUUUGACAGGAACAAUAGUAAAUAAAUUAAUAAGUGGUGAUGCAAAAUUACCACCAGCAGUUUGUGAGGUAACACGAUACCAGUGCAGCCUGGAGGAUCGACAUCAUAAGCUUCGCUUACAUGUAGCUAGGGCCACAUCAAUCUCAGCACCAACAUCCAAAGAUCCGCAGUCCCAUCAAAAUGUCCAACCUUAGGCUCCAAUCUGGGUGUUGAGAAAAUUGCAUACAAAAUCUGGGUGUCUAUGAGAUAGACCUGGGCAAAGCAUCCGACAAAACUUAGCACACUGUUAAAACAACUUUUGACAGAGAAUUGAGACAUACAAGAAUUUCAUUGGAGCCCAAAGUGCAAUGACAACACCAAUAUUAUUAUUUGCUGCAAACCAAGAUCAAAUAAUAAGAACACCAAACUUUUCAAACCUGAAGAUUGUUACACUAUUUCAUUAUCUAUGUGUGCCUCUAAAUCUCUAAAGCUAUAGAUUUUACACUAUUUCAUUAUUUCAUUUUAGAGCCUCAAUCAUGUAGAAUGGGACAACUUAUUCAGUGGUAAAUCUUGUGCCCCUCCCUCUAGCUCAGGGAGUAGCUUAUUCAGUGGUAAAGCUGUGUGCCUCUCCCUCUGCCUCUCAACUUUUGUAGAUGGAAGAAAGUUACUUCUAAAUCUUGCCGUGGUAUGUUCAAUCAUAGAAGUUUCACAACACCAUAUACCAACAUAUAUUGUGAAAAUGUGCCUUGACUGUCACAUGCACACACCAAGAAACAUCCAAUAUUAAUUCAGAUAGGAACAUGUACGUACAUAUGCAGGAUUUUCUUAUCAAGAAUACUGAUGAGUCCUUAAGCUAGGCAUGGUCAGAACUAACAAGUACUAACUCUGUCUCAAAAUAUAAGACAUUUUUGUAGGCUAGUUUAGCCUAUAAAAACGACUUAUAUUUCAAGAUGGAGGUAGUAUGACUCAACUAGCAUUGAUAUUUGAUCCUAACAGCAACAAAGAUGAGUACAUCCACUAGCGGAGCUUCAUGAGGGCAAAACAAGGCCGUGGCCCGCCCAGCUCCAGAGACAAAUAAAACUCUUUUGUACAUGUAACAGUUUAAUCCAAUAGCAUGUCUCCCUCGCAUCCAGCUAUGAGCUCUCUGCCCCGAUUCAGCACUGAGCAAGCCACUCAGAGAUGGAGAGGUCCAAUAGCCAGGCAGUCGGGCGCCGCAUGUAGCAACCCCUACGGUGACCCAUCCCUAUGCCACGACGGGCGUGGCCAUGGCGGCUGCCAGCGGCUAGCCACCGAUGAACUACCCAGGUGACGAGCACAAGACCAUAGAACCAGCAGGCAGCUAGCGCACAAGAAAUUUCGUUUAUUUGUCCAAAUUUUACUUGACAACAUCAUCCUGUUACCAGUUUCCCUAUACAGGCAACCUGAAAUUUCACUAACUCAUGCCUACUGGACUGUAUGGUUUAGAAAAAAAAAUUGGCCCGCCCAACUUAUUUGUUGUAGCUCCGCCACUGAGUACAUCUAACUUAGACAAGUUUUGCACAUCGUUAAUUAUUAGUUUGCAACUACGCCAGGGAGUAAAGACAAUAUAAAAAUAUAGAGAUAUACCAGGCUAAUAACAAUAGGAAGGAGAAGAACACGAAUAUGCUUUAUUCAUUAGUGGCAUGGCCUAAUUAGGAACUAGACGUGAACCACCACACAGCUUAUCUAACUAAUAGUUAUUUAAGACAAAUUCUACACUGCUAAUGCUCGCACGGUGAGAGAAGAAAAAGGAAAUAGCUAGCAGUGCUAGUCUGUCGUUGGCUGUAACUUGGCUGUAGCUUGCGAGUAUCAGGAAAUGAAGUUAACACGUUUUCUACAUCAGGUUCAGUUCAAGAAAAUUGGUGAGCCCCUAGAGAACUAUGCUAGAGAAGAGCAGCAGGCACUUGAAAGAAAAGAAAAACAGAACGAGAGAGUCAACCUUAUUGUUCUGUGGCGAAUCAUGAUGGUUGGCUCGCAUGACCUCGCCGUUCCAGCUCGUCGGGUUUGAGCAUGGGGUCCCGGUCGUCGCCGUCCAUGGAAUUGGAGAGGCAGAGAGCUCCUACUGAU